CUCAGACCCAUCGAGCUUCCUGGGGAAGAAGCGAGGAGACAGGAAGAAGGAGGGGGAGAAGGGGAUUCAGGCCAGACGGCCCCACAGCGAAGAAAGGGGACAGUUGGCUGGAGGAUUGUGCCCCCACGGUAAACCCCUCCCAACACCUCAGUCCACCUCGGCUAUUUCCAAGGCCCUGAACCUUUUGUGGCCAGCGUUUCCAGAGAGUAGAGAACACACGAAGGUCUUUCCCCUCCAAAGUGGGGGAAGAGGACAGGACAGAACCGCAAGUUCCCCUUAAAGGCAGCUGAGCCCAGGGCAUUAGACCUCAAGCCCACCAAGAAGUAUGGCUCCAUUUCAAAAGGGCAGAAUAAAGCCAGGAGGCAGGGGGAUGAACCCAA
Suricata suricatta (meerkat) is the source of this 380-nucleotide long non-coding RNA. RefSeq lists it as uncharacterized. The transcript has 2 exons. NCBI's taxonomy places the organism in Eukaryota, Metazoa, Chordata, Mammalia, Carnivora, Herpestidae. The record is from RefSeq and is a predicted model, not a curated record.